UUAAGGUCUUUCCUCUACAAAGGAAAGACCUUAUUGUUUUUCUUCCGUUUUUUCUUUUUCUUUUUUUUCUUCCAACAUUUUUUUGACAUGCCCGCCUCUUGUUUCUGUUGAAGUUAUAAAGACCAAAUAUGGACCAUCGGUAGACCUCAUCAAGAUGUAUUACCAAAUGACCCUGUUAAGGAUUUCAUCAUCCCCUUUAGGAAGUUAUCUCCCUUUUAUUGAUUUUUUUCAACAUGGCCCCCCCCUCGUUGGUUUUAAAGAUAUCAUGACCUUAUUUGGACAUAAUGUAGAUCUCAUCAUGAUGUAUUACCAUGUGAGGCUGAAUAGGAUUUCAUUCUGCCCUAUGAGAGUUAUAUCCCCUUGAAACAAUUUCUUUCCUUUGCAUUUUUCUCAAAAAGUAUAAGAGAUAGAAUCGAUUUGAAAACGGCAACAUGUACAGGAACAGAUGGCAAUGUUAAUGAACAUAUACAAUCAUUUUGUUAUUAACCCUUAUAAGGAGUUAUUCCCCUUGAAAAAAUGAACAUGAUUUUAGAAAAAUUGUAUUUCGAGAACCGGAAGUCGUAGAGACUUGGGACCUUCACCAAUAAUCUUUAAUUCAUGUGACCUUUAAUAUGCACCCAAGGUCAAAGGUCACUGAGUGCAAAAAAAAAUUACGCUGCAAUUUCAAGCUUACAUAUUAGGAAAACGAUAAGACUUUGCUGCAU
Molecule: long non-coding RNA, 704 nt
Filed under: Mytilus galloprovincialis (Mediterranean mussel)
Lineage: Eukaryota; Metazoa; Mollusca; Bivalvia; Mytilida; Mytilidae
Source: RNAcentral